This 484-nucleotide ribosomal RNA is filed under the name uncultured bacterium. RNAcentral's name for it is "partial 16S ribosomal RNA". It matches the Rfam family "Bacterial small subunit ribosomal RNA", at positions 30 to 507 of the family's 1533-position model. The record is from RNAcentral.
AUUGAACGCUGGCGGCAGGCCUAACACAUGCAAGUCGAGCGGACGAAGGGAGCUUGCUCCUGGAUUCAGCGGCGGACGGGUGAGUAAUGCCUAGGAAUCUGCCUGGUAGUGGGGGAUAACGUCCGGAAACGGGCGCUAAUAUCGCAUACGUCCUGAGGGAGAAAGUGGGGGAUCUUCGGACAUCACGCUAUCUGAUGAGCCUAGGUCGGAUUAGCUAGUUGGUGGGGUAAAGGCGUACCAAGGCGACGAUCCGUAACUGGUCUGAGAGGAUGAUCAGUCACACUGGAACUGAGACACGGUCCAGACUCCUACGGGAGGCAGCAGUGGGGAAUAUUGGACAAAGGGCGAAAGCCUGAUCCAGCCAUGCCGCGUGUGUGAAGAAGGUCUUCGGAUUGUAAAGCACUUUAAGUUGGGAGGAAGGGCAGUAAGUUAAUACCUUGCUGUUUUGACGUUACCAACAGAAUAAGCACCGGCUAACUUCGUG